AAGAUGUAUGCUCAAGUCCGCUGCCCGCAGGGGAAGCCGGUGCGAAUCCGGCGCUGCCCCGCAACGGUGAGCGAGCGAUGCGUCGGCGCCCCCAGGCGAAGCCCUGGGGUGCGUCCACGCGCCGCCGCACAGCCCGAUCGCCUGCCGGCAGCCGGCGCCCUCA
This 163-nucleotide non-coding RNA is filed under the name Actinacidiphila paucisporea. Lineage: Bacteria; Bacillati; Actinomycetota; Actinomycetes; Kitasatosporales; Streptomycetaceae. The record is from RNAcentral.